Molecule: ribosomal RNA, 465 nt
Filed under: uncultured soil bacterium
Lineage: Bacteria
Description: bacterial SSU rRNA
Rfam family: Bacterial small subunit ribosomal RNA
Source: RNAcentral
GUCGAGCGGCAGCACGGGUACUUGUACCUGGUGGCGAGCGGCGGACGGGUGAGUAAUGCCUAGGAAUCUGCCUGGUAGUGGGGGAUAACGCUCGGAAACGGACGCUAAUACCGCAUACGUCCUACGGGAGAAAGCAGGGGACCUUCGGGCCUUGCGCUAUCAGAUGAGCCUAGGUCGGAUUAGCUAGUUGGUGAGGUAAUGGCUCACCAAGGCGACGAUCCGUAACUGGUCUGAGAGGAUGAUCAGUCACACUGGAACUGAGACACGGUCCAGACUCCUACGGGAGGCAGCAGUGGGGAAUAUUGGACAAUGGGCGAAAGCCUGAUCCAGCCAUGCCGCGUGUGUGAAGAAGGUCUUCGGAUUGUAAAGCACUUUAAGUUGGGAGGAAGGGCAGUUACCUAAUACGUAUCUGUUUUGACGUUACCGACAGAAUAAGCACCGGCUAACUCUGUGCCAGCAGCCGCG